CCUACGGGGGGCUGCAGUGGGGAAUAUUGGACAAUGGGGGCAACCCUGAUCCAGCCAUGCCGCGUGUGUGAAGAAGGCCCUCGGGUUGUAAAGCACUUUCAGUGAGGAAGAACGCCUGGUGGUUAAUACCCAUCAGGAAAGACAUCACUCACAGAAGAAGCACCGGCUAACUCCGUGCCAGCAGCCGCGGUAAUACGGAGGGUGCGAGCGUUAAUCGGAAUUACUGGGCGUAAAGCGCGCGUAGGUGGCUUGAUAAGCCGGUUGUGAAAGCCCCGGGCUCAACCUGGGAACGGCAUCCGGAACUGUCAAGCUAGAGUGCAGGAGAGGAAGGUAGAAUUCCCGGUGUAGCGGUGAAAUGCGUAGAGAGCGGGAGGAAUACCAGUGGCGAAGGCGGCCUUCUGGACUGACACUGACACUGAGGUGCGAAAGCGUGGGUAGCAAACAGGAUUAGAUACCCUUGUAGUC
This 465-nucleotide ribosomal RNA is filed under the name Vreelandella stevensii. RNAcentral's name for it is "partial 16S ribosomal RNA". It matches the Rfam family "Bacterial small subunit ribosomal RNA", at positions 338 to 795 of the family's 1533-position model. The record is from RNAcentral. Lineage: Bacteria; Pseudomonadati; Pseudomonadota; Gammaproteobacteria; Oceanospirillales; Halomonadaceae.